Molecule: unclassified non-coding RNA, 189 nt
Filed under: uncultured Inocybe
Lineage: Eukaryota; Fungi; Basidiomycota; Agaricomycetes; Agaricales; Cortinariaceae
Description: sequence contains ITS2
Source: RNAcentral
ACCUUAUCAACCGCUUCAAAUUUUUGAAUGUGGCUUGGAUGUUGGGGGGCUCUUUGCCGGCCUUUAGAGAAAGGUCGGCUCCCCUGAAACGCAUUAGUGGCAUCUGAGCUGCUACUGUAGGUGUGAUAAAUAUCUAUGCCUUUGGUAUGCUGCAUGAACAGAUCGCGCUGCUCAAAACUGACUUGACAA